UACGUAGGGGGCGAGCGUUGUCCGGAUUUAUUGGGCGUAAAGAGCGUGUAGGCGGCCAGGUAGGUCUGCUGUGAAAACUCGAGGCUCAACCUCGAGACGUCGGCGGAAACCAUCUGGCUAGAGUCCGGAAGAGGAGAGUGGAAUUCCUGGUGUAGCGGUGAAAUGCGCAGAUAUCAGGAGGAACACCAAUAGCGAAGGCAGCUCGCUGGGACGUAACUGACGCUGAGACGCGAAAGCGUGGGGAGCAAACAGG
RNAcentral lists this ribosomal RNA (253 nucleotides) under uncultured bacterium. RNAcentral's name for it is "partial 16S ribosomal RNA". It matches the Rfam family "Bacterial small subunit ribosomal RNA", at positions 524 to 776 of the family's 1533-position model. The record is from RNAcentral.